Molecule: ribosomal RNA, 487 nt
Filed under: Phaloriinae sp. Indo
Lineage: Eukaryota; Metazoa; Arthropoda; Insecta; Orthoptera; Phalangopsidae
Description: partial 16S ribosomal RNA
Rfam family: Bacterial large subunit ribosomal RNA
Source: RNAcentral
YUUCUUGGUGUAAUAAGAAGUCGUGCCUGCCCACUGAGAUUUUGAAGGGCCGCGGUAUUCUGACCGUGCAAAGGUAGCAUAAUCAUUAGUCUUUUAAUUGGGGACUGGAAUGAAUGGUUUGACGAGAUGGUUUCUGUCUUUUUUAUAAAUUUUGAAUUUUACUUUUGAGUUAAAAGGCUUAAGUAUUAGUUAGGGACGAGAAGACCCUAUAGAUCUUUAUUAUUUGAUGAAAAUUUAAGUGGUUAGUAGUUGAAUUUUUUUUUUGUUGAUUAAUUUUGUUGGGGUGACAUGGGAAGAGAAAAACUUCUUAUUUAAUUAAACUUUGAUUGAUGAUCAUAUGAACCUAUUAUUUGGAUAGAAGAUUAAGAUACCUUAGGGAUAACAGCGUUAUCUUAUUUGAGAGUUCAUAUCGACAAUAAGGGUUGCGACCCUCGAUGUUGGAUUAAGAUUAUAUUUUGGUGUAGUAGUUAAAAUUGUUGGUCUGUUC